Molecule: ribosomal RNA, 526 nt
Filed under: Vibrio vulnificus
Lineage: Bacteria; Pseudomonadati; Pseudomonadota; Gammaproteobacteria; Vibrionales; Vibrionaceae
Description: bacterial SSU rRNA
Rfam family: Bacterial small subunit ribosomal RNA
Source: RNAcentral
AGCAGUGGGGAAUAUUGCACAAUGGGCGCAAGCCUGAUGCAGCCAUGCCGCGUGUGUGAAGAAGGCCUUCGGGUUGUAAAGCACUCUCAGUCGUGAGGAAGGUGGUAGUGUUAAUAGCACUAUCAUUUGACGUUAGCGACAGAAGAAGCACCGGCUAACUCCGUGCCAGCAGCCGCGGUAAUACGGAGGGUGCGAGCGUUAAUCGGAAUUACUGGGCGUAAAGCGCAUGCAGGUGGUUUGUUAAGUCAGAUGUGAAAGCCCGGGGCUCAACCUCGGAACUGCAUUUGAAACUGGCAGACUAGAGUACUGUAGAGGGGGGUAGAAUUUCAGGUGUAGCGGUGAAAUGCGUAGAGAUCUGAAGGAAUACCGGUGGCGAAGGCGGCCCCCUGGACAGAUACUGACACUCAGAUGCGAAAGCGUGGGGAGCAAACAGGAUUAGAUACCCUGGUAGUCCACGCUGUAAACGAUGUCUACUUGGAGGUUGUGGCCUUGAGCCGUGGCUUUCGGAGCUAACGCGUUAAGUAGA